Molecule: ribosomal RNA, 440 nt
Filed under: uncultured bacterium
Lineage: Bacteria
Description: partial 16S ribosomal RNA
Rfam family: Bacterial small subunit ribosomal RNA
Source: RNAcentral
CCUACGGGGUGCUGCAGUGGGGAAUAUUGCACAAUGGGGGAAACCCUGAUGCAGCAACGCCGCGUGAGUGAAGAAGUAUUUCGGUAUGUAAAGCUCUAUCAGCAGGGAAGAAAAUGACGGUACCUGAGUAAGAAGCCCCGGCUAACUACGUGCCAGCAGCCGCGGUAAUACGUAGGGGGCAAGCGUUAUCCGGAUUUACUGGGUGUAAAGGGAGCGUAGACGGCAGUGCAAGUCUGGAGUGAAAGGCGGGGGCUCAACCCCCGGACUGCUCUGGAAACUGUACGGCUGGAGUGCAGGAGAGGUAAGUGGAAUUCCUAGUGUAGCGGUGAAAUGCGUAGAUAUUAGGAGGAACACCAGUGGCGAAGGCGGCUUACUGGACUGUAACUGACGUUGAGGCUCGAAAGCGUGGGGAGCAAACAGGAUUAGAUACCCUGGUAGUC